Molecule: small nucleolar RNA, 127 nt
Organism: Balaenoptera musculus (blue whale)
Lineage: Eukaryota; Metazoa; Chordata; Mammalia; Artiodactyla; Balaenopteridae
Source: Ensembl
AAAACUUGUGUUUGUUUUUGUUUAAUUUGUGGACAAAGACUUCUAGACAGGUGCAAAAAUAAAUCCUCUUUUGCAACACAGAACUCAUUGUUCAGUAUGAGUUUUGAUACAGAUGAAAAGGAACAUG